UACAGAGGUGCCAAGCGUUAGGCGGAAUCACUGGGCUUAAAGCGCGUGUAGGCGGGUCGUUAAGUGUCCGAGUGAAAUCCCACGGCUCAACCGUGGAACUGCCGGGCAUACUGGCGACCUUGAGGCAUUCAGGGGCGAGCGGAACAAAUGGUGGAGCGGUGAAAUGCGUAGAUAUCAUUUGGAACGCCAAUGGUGAAAACAGCUCGCUGGGAAUGAUCUGACGCUGAGACGCGAAAGCCAGGGGAGCGAACGGG
Molecule: ribosomal RNA, 254 nt
Filed under: uncultured bacterium
Lineage: Bacteria
Description: partial 16S ribosomal RNA
Rfam family: Bacterial small subunit ribosomal RNA
Source: RNAcentral